Small nuclear RNA from Oryctolagus cuniculus (rabbit), 137 nucleotides. Its record names the gene U4. It matches the Rfam family "U4 spliceosomal RNA". Rfam says of the family: U4 small nuclear RNA (U4 snRNA) is a component of the major U2-dependent spliceosome. Lineage: Eukaryota; Metazoa; Chordata; Mammalia; Lagomorpha; Leporidae. The record is from Ensembl.
AGCUUUGCGCAGUGGCAGUAUCAUAGCCAAUGAGGUUUAUCCGAGGCACGAUUAUUGCUGAUUGAAAACUUUUCCCCAUACCCUGCCAUGACGACUUGACAGGUAAAGAAUAUGAUAAAACAAUAAUGAAUUAAUUG